Molecule: ribosomal RNA, 462 nt
Filed under: uncultured bacterium
Lineage: Bacteria
Description: bacterial SSU rRNA
Rfam family: Bacterial small subunit ribosomal RNA
Source: RNAcentral
UACGGAAGGCAGCAGUGGGGAAUAUUGCACAAUGGGCGCAAGCCUGAUGCAGCCAUGCCGCGUGUAUGAAGAAGGCCUUCGGGUUGUAAAGUACUUUCAGUCGUGAGGAAGGUGUUAAGGUUAAUAACCUUAGCAAUUGACGUUAGCGACAGAAGAAGCACCGGCUAACUCCGUGCCAGCAGCCGCGGUAAUACGGAGGGUGCGAGCGUUAAUCGGAAUUACUGGGCGUAAAGGGCACGCAGGCGGUUAAUUAAGUUGGAUGUGAAAUCCCCGGGCUUAACCUGGGAAUGGCAUUCAAGACUGGUUAGCUAGAGUCUUGUAGAGGGGGUGAAUUCCAUGUGUGCGGUGAAAUGCGUGAGAUGUGGAGGAAUACCGGUGGCGAAGGCGGCCCCUGGGACAAAGACUGACGCUCAUGUGCGAAAGCGUGGGGAGCAAACAGGAUUAGAUACCCUCUGGAGGCUA